CUAAAGACCAAUCCUCAGAUUUAAACAUUUAGAACUUAAACAUUUAGAGUUUGGAGAGAAGAGAAGAAGCCAGAAAAAGAAACCAAAAAGGAUUAACAAGUGAAGUAAGAAGACAAGGAGUGUGUGCGUUUGUAGAAAUUAACUGAAGGAAGUGUUUUAAGAAACUUACCAGCUGUUUCAAAUGCUGUUCACAGUUCAGCUAAGAUGAAGACUGAGAAAGGACCCCUGGAUUUACAAUGUGGAUGUCUUGACAAUUACUACGGUACCCCAAAGCCGCCAGCAGAACCAGCACCAUUAUUGUUAAAUGUAACAGACCAGAUACUUCCAGGAGCCACUCCAAGUGCUGAAGGAAAACGGAAGAGGAAUAAAUCAGUGAGCAACAUGGAGAAAGCCAGUAUAGAGCCUCCUGAGGAGGAAGAGGAAGAGAGGCCUGUAGUCAAUGGAAAUGGAGUAGUAGUAACACCAGCACAGUGUCUCUGCCCUGCCUUCAUGUUCUUCACAUUCUUCACAUUCACCAGACACCAGAUUUCAAAGAAGACUGAGAAGCAUGUUCCUAGCCAGGUGCGGAGGCUCAUGCCUGUAACCCCAGCACUUUGGGAGGUCAAGGCAGGCGGAUCACUUUCAUAGGAGUUUGAGACCAGCCUGGGCAACAUGGCAAAACCCCAUCUCUGCAAAACACACACACACACACAAAAAUUAGCCAGGCAUGGGGCACACACCUGUAGUCCCAGCUUCUUGGGAGGCUGAGCUGGGAGAAUCACCUGAGCCCAAGGAGGUCAAGUUGCAGUGAGCCAUGAUGGUGCCACUGCACUUCAGCCUGGGCAACAGAGUGAGACCUCGUCUCAAACAAACAAAAAGAGAGAGAGAAACAUGUCACUUAAAUUUUAGUUAACGCUGCCCUAUAUCAACUAACUAUAGUAAUAAUUAAUAUCAG
Molecule: small RNA, 934 nt
Filed under: Pongo abelii (Sumatran orangutan)
Lineage: Eukaryota; Metazoa; Chordata; Mammalia; Primates; Hominidae
Description: processed transcript
Source: RNAcentral